This 454-nucleotide ribosomal RNA is filed under the name Salmonella enterica subsp. enterica serovar Infantis. RNAcentral describes it as "bacterial SSU rRNA". It matches the Rfam family "Bacterial small subunit ribosomal RNA", at positions 1 to 453 of the family's 1533-position model. RNAcentral also lists the same sequence under 2 other names. Lineage: Bacteria; Pseudomonadati; Pseudomonadota; Gammaproteobacteria; Enterobacterales; Enterobacteriaceae. The record is from RNAcentral.
AAAUUGAAGAGUUUGAUCAUGGCUCAGAUUGAACGCUGGCGGCAGGCCUAACACAUGCAAGUCGAACGGUAGCACAGAGAGCUUGCUCUCGGGUGACGAGUGGCGGACGGGUGAGUAAUGUCUGGGAAACUGCCUGAUGGAGGGGGAUAACUACUGGAAACGGUGGCUAAUACCGCAUAACGUCGCAAGACCAAAGAGGGGGACCUUCGGGCCUCUUGCCAUCAGAUGUGCCCAGAUGGGAUUAGCUUGUUGGUGAGGUAACGGCUCACCAAGGCGACGAUCCCUAGCUGGUCUGAGAGGAUGACCAGCCACACUGGAACUGAGACACGGUCCAGACUCCUACGGGAGGCAGCAGUGGGGAAUAUUGCACAAUGGGCGCAAGCCUGAUGCAGCCAUGCCGCGUGUAUGAAGAAGGCCUUCGGGUUGUAAAGUACUUUCAGCGGGGAGGAAGGUG